This 442-nucleotide ribosomal RNA is filed under the name uncultured bacterium. Its description in RNAcentral is "bacterial SSU rRNA". It matches the Rfam family "Bacterial small subunit ribosomal RNA", at positions 28 to 507 of the family's 1533-position model. The record is from RNAcentral.
GAUGAACGCUGGCGGUAUGCCUAACACAUGCAAGUCGUACGAGAGUUUUUAACUCUAGUGGCGGACGGGUGAGUAACACGUGAGAAUUUGCCUUUAGGAGGGGGACAACAAUCGGAAACGAAUGCUAAUACCCCAUAUGCUUUCGAGUGAAAUGGAUUUUAUCCGCCUAGAGAGAAGCUCGCGGCUGAUUAGCUUGUUGGUAAGGUAAGAGCUUACCAAGGCGACGAUCAGUAUCUGGUUUGAGAGGACGAUCAGACACACUGGAACUGAGACACGGUCCAGACUCCUACGGGAGGCAGCAGUGGGGAAUUUUCCGCAAUGGGCGAAAGCCUGACGGAGCAAUACCGCGUGAGGGAAGAAUGCCUAUGGGUUGUAAACCUCUUUUUUCUAGGGAGGAAUCAAAUGACGUGUACCUGAGGAAUAAGCAUCGGCUAACUCCGUG